This 253-nucleotide ribosomal RNA is filed under the name uncultured bacterium. RNAcentral describes it as "partial 16S ribosomal RNA". It matches the Rfam family "Bacterial small subunit ribosomal RNA", at positions 524 to 776 of the family's 1533-position model. The record is from RNAcentral.
UACGUAGGGGGCAAGCGUUGUCCGGUUUCAUUGGGCGUAAAGCGCGUGUAGGCGGCCAGGUAGGUCCGGUGUGAAAACUCGAGGCUCAACCUCGAGAGGUCAUCGGAAACCAUCUGGCUAGAGUCCGGAAGAGGAGAGUGGAAUUCCCGGUGUAGCGGUGAAAUGCGCAGAUAUCGGGAAGAACACCUAUGGCGAAGGCAGCUCUCUGGGACGGUACUGACGCUGAGACGCGAAAGCGUGGGGAGCGAACAGG